Colletotrichum salicis is the source of this 99-nucleotide transfer RNA. It matches the Rfam family "tRNA". Rfam says of the family: Transfer RNA (tRNA) molecules are approximately 80 nucleotides in length. Their secondary structure includes four short double-helical elements and three loops (D, anti-codon, and T loops). Lineage: Eukaryota; Fungi; Ascomycota; Sordariomycetes; Glomerellales; Glomerellaceae. The record is from Rfam.
GGCAACAUGGCCGAGUGGUCCAAGGCGAUAGACUUGAAUUGUUUGAUAUUCUGAUAUCUAUUAUCUUCGGAUGCGCAGGUUCGAACCCUGCUGUUGUCG